CUCGGUGGCCUGACCGGAGGGGUCACACCCGUUCCCAUCUCGAACACGGAAGUUAAGCCCUCCAGGGCCGAUGAUACUAUGCCUUUACAGGCAUGGGAAAGUAGGACGCCGCCGGGU
This 117-nucleotide ribosomal RNA is filed under the name Nitrospirota bacterium. The record is from RNAcentral. Lineage: Bacteria; Pseudomonadati; Nitrospirota.